Molecule: ribosomal RNA, 251 nt
Filed under: uncultured bacterium
Lineage: Bacteria
Description: partial 16S ribosomal RNA
Rfam family: Bacterial small subunit ribosomal RNA
Source: RNAcentral
UACGGGGGGGCAAGCGUUGUUCGGAAUUACUGGGCGUAAAGGGCUCGUAGGCGGCCAACUAAGUCAGACGUGAAAUCCCUCGGCUUAACCGGGGAACUGCGUCUGAUACUGGAUGGCUUGAGGUUGGGAGAGGGAUGCGGAAUUCCAGGUGUAGCGGUGAAAUGCGUAGAUAUCUGGAGGACACCGGUGGUGUAAACGGCUUUCUGGACCAUAACUGACGCUGAGGCACGAAAGCGUGGGUAGCAAACAGG